AAAUUAUUUUACUAAACAUUUUUAUUUCAUCUCAUUCAAAAACUGUAUAUUUCUAUUAUUGGUGAAAUCUACUUUCAAAUCUCUUGCUUCCAACACGCUUAUGUGAAUUUACUUUUAUCAGGGACUGUCAAAAUAAAUCAUCGAAAAAUAAUUAUUUAAAGUUAUAUAUAACCAGUAUGGGCGAUUUGAACAAUGGGGCAUACAAAAAGCCGAGGUCAACUAUGCCAAC
Molecule: long non-coding RNA, 229 nt
Filed under: Mytilus galloprovincialis (Mediterranean mussel)
Lineage: Eukaryota; Metazoa; Mollusca; Bivalvia; Mytilida; Mytilidae
Source: RNAcentral